GAACCUUACCUAAGCUUGACAUCCCAAUGACAUCUCCUUAAUCGGAGAGUUCCCUUCGGGGACAUUGGUGACAGGUGGUGCAUGGUUGUCGUCAGCUCGUGUCGUGAGAUGUUGGGUUAAGUCCCGCAACGAGCGCAACCCUUGUCUUUAGUUGCCAUCAUUAAGUUGGGCACUCUAGAGAGACUGCCAGGGAUAACCUGGAGGAAGGUGGGGAUGACGUCAAAUCAUCAUGCCCCUUAUGCUUAGGGCUACACACGUGCUACAAUGGGUAGUACAGAGGGUUGCCAAGCCGUAAGGUGGAGCUAAUCCCUUAAAGCUACUCUCAGUUCGGAUUGUAGGCUGAAACUCGCCUACAUGAAGCUGGAGUUACUAGUAAUCGCAGAUCAGAAUGCUGCGGUGAAUGCGUUCCCGGGUCUUGUACACACCGCCCGUCACACCACGGGAGUUGGAGACGCCCGAAGCCGAUUAUCUAACCUUUUGGAAGAAGUCGUCGAAGGUGGAAUCAAUAACUGGGGUGAAGUCGUAACAAGGUAGCCGUAUCGGAAGGUGCGGCUGGAUCACCUCCUUUCUAAGGA
This 575-nucleotide ribosomal RNA is filed under the name Clostridioides difficile. RNAcentral describes it as "bacterial SSU rRNA". It matches the Rfam family "Bacterial small subunit ribosomal RNA", at positions 966 to 1533 of the family's 1533-position model. The record is from RNAcentral. Lineage: Bacteria; Bacillati; Bacillota; Clostridia; Peptostreptococcales; Peptostreptococcaceae.